AUUUUCGAGAGUUUGAUCCUGGCUCAGGACGAACGCUGGCGGCGUGCCUAAUACAUGCAAGUCGCACGGGCUCCUUCGGGGGUCAGUGGCGGACGGGUGAGAAACACG
Molecule: ribosomal RNA, 108 nt
Filed under: Bacillota bacterium
Lineage: Bacteria; Bacillati; Bacillota
Description: partial 16S ribosomal RNA
Rfam family: Bacterial small subunit ribosomal RNA
Source: RNAcentral